AUGGCCUAGAAGAGGUGGGUGCAGAGCCUCUGGUGUUUGCCUUCCUAUUCCCCUCUGGGCACCAAGGUACGCUGAGCUGAGACCAGGAUCCGGAACUUCAACCUGUGAAUUUAGAGAUGGGGUUUCACCGUGGUCUUGAUCUUCUGACCUCGUGAUCCGCCCGCCUCAGCCUCCCAGAGUGCUGGGAUUACAGGCGUGAGCCACGGCGCCCGGCCUCCUCUGGGCAAACAUUAAGAACUGCUCUAAGUAGCUACGAGAACGAUGGGAGACAGUUACGUGGUUCACGGAACUAUGAAGGGAGAUCCUGUAAUCGUCAGCAAAGGCUCCUUGGAGCUGGGAAGGAAUGAGAUUUGCACCACUGGAAACCCUACAGUAUUUCCAGGCCAAGAAUAAGGAGGGAGAAGCUGAGCUGAGGGCUACAGACAACACUGUGUACAAACCACAGCAAAUUUAUUACUCAAGAUCCAGUGCCACAUUAUAGCACCACCUGGAGCCCUCACCUUCCCCCCUCCCCCAACCUGGCCCCUAGAGUACACCCAAAACAGAAAAAAAAAGGAAACCCAGAUCCCUGCUCCUCCUCUGGAAGAGGGGGCCUUGGCCAGGAAGCCCCUUCCAUAGGUCCCAGCAGGCAGGAGAGUGGACCC
This 644-nucleotide small RNA is filed under the name Pongo abelii (Sumatran orangutan). RNAcentral describes it as "processed transcript". Lineage: Eukaryota; Metazoa; Chordata; Mammalia; Primates; Hominidae. The record is from RNAcentral.